Molecule: ribosomal RNA, 492 nt
Filed under: uncultured bacterium
Lineage: Bacteria
Description: partial 16S ribosomal RNA
Rfam family: Bacterial small subunit ribosomal RNA
Source: RNAcentral
AGUGGACGCUGGCGGUAGGCCUAACACAUGCAAGUCGAACGGCAGCACAGUAAGAGCUUGCUCUUACGGGUGGCGAGUGGCGGACGGGUGAGGAAUACAUCGGAAUCUACUUUUUCGUGGGGGAUAACGUAGGGAAACUUACGCUAAUACCGCAUACGACCUACGGGUGAAAGCAGGGGAUCUUCGGACCUUGCGCGAUUGAAUGAGCCGAUGUCGGAUUAGCUAGUUGGCGGGGUAAAGGCCCACCAAGGUGACGAUCCGUAGCUGGUCUGAGAGGAUGAUCAGCCACACUGGAACUGAGACACGGUCCAGACUCCUACGGGAGGCAGCAGUGGGGAAUAUUGGACAAUGGGCGCAAGCCUGAUCCAGCCAUACCGCGUGGGUGAAGAAGGCCUUCGGGUUGUAAAGCCCUUUUGUUGGGAAAGAAAAGCAGCAGGUUAAUACCCCGCUGUUCUGACGGUACCCAAAGAAUAAGCACCGGCUAACUUCGUG